This 422-nucleotide ribosomal RNA is filed under the name uncultured archaeon. RNAcentral's name for it is "partial 16S ribosomal RNA". It matches the Rfam family "Archaeal small subunit ribosomal RNA", at positions 323 to 746 of the family's 1478-position model. The record is from RNAcentral.
CUACGGGUCGCUGCAGUUAGGAAUAUUUUACAAUGCACGCAAGUGUGAUAAAUUGAGCUAGAGUGCUUUCCAAAUUGGAAAGCUUUUGUGAAAUCUAAAAAGUUUUACGAAUAAGGACUGGGUAAGACGAGUGCCAGCCGCCGCGGUAAUACUCGCGGUCCAAGUCGCAGCCAUUUUUAUUGGGUCUAAAACAUCCGUAGCUUGCUUAGUAAGUUUCUUGUGAAAUCUUAAUUCUUAAAAUUGAGGAGUGCAAGAAGUACUGCUGAGCUAGAGACUGGAAGACGUAAGAAGUACGUUUGAAGUAGCGGUAAAAUGUGUUAAUCUCAGACGGACUAUCAAUAGCGAAGGCAUCUUACGAGGACAGUUCUGACAGUAAGGGAUGAAGGCUAGGGGCGCAAAACGGAUUAGAUACCCUCGUAGUC